AUCAGAAUUUUGGCCAAACCCAAUUACUCCCUGCGCAAAAUAGAAAGAGGAAGAAAGGAUCUUUUCUCUUCAAUUCUUUUGAAUCAAAUCAGUCUAACAUCCCAUUCUCCUUCACUCCAUGCGCAACAUCAUCCUCCACACAAGACUGAAUAUCUCUCUCUCAAUUCAGAAUGAAACAAUAUCUCUCUUCCUCUCUUUCAAGACCGUAGACCAGCUAGAGAAGGACCCAAAGUUUGCAUGCGAAAUUCCUCCUCCCUACCUCUCACAAACCGUGAGCUACAUAAGAGAACAACGACCAUCCAAGCUUUCAUUCCUUCAUCUCAUGGUCCGGCCGUUUUCCAUUGAGCGAGCAGUAUAGGAUUUUCUCUAGUUUCUGGUCUCUCCUCCAUCCCUUCGAUUUGAUGAAGACCGUCCCUUGCAUGCAGCUCAAAUCCGUCAUCUUGAAGAAUGGAAAGCUCAAAUCCGUCAUCUUGAAGAAUGGAAAGGUGAAAGAAUUUGUACAUCAUCUGACCACUGUUUUCCUUGGCCGAUUCGUGGACCUGGGUUGUCUUGCAAGUAGAAGCUCAUAAAACUCAAGGAUGUUGGACGGACUUGAGGCUCUUUUGAUUAGAAAGCUAAAAUAUCAGGAGGACUUAGAAGCAUUGGAAGAAGUGUUUGAUGACAUGAUUACAUGACAAUUCUGUUUAAGUUAAUCUGUUGACAUCCAUGUUGUUUGCCCGCUGUCUCUGUUGAGUGUAUUCUGAUUAUUUGACCUUGAGGUAGCAUGAUGUAUAUUCUGUUUUAAAAAGAAGUGUAGCACGAUGUAUAUUCUGUUUUGAAAAGAAGUGUAGCAUGAUGUUUAUGAUUCCGGUAGUUUAGUUUGCGAAAAGAAUUGUUAUUGUAUUGAAAUUCGGAUUUUUGAACUGUUUUUGCGAGCACUUUGCGAGUUGUCGUU
This is a long non-coding RNA of Gastrolobium bilobum, 934 nucleotides long. RefSeq lists it as uncharacterized. The record is from RefSeq and is a predicted model, not a curated record. The transcript has 4 exons. Lineage: Eukaryota; Viridiplantae; Streptophyta; Magnoliopsida; Fabales; Fabaceae.